RNAcentral lists this ribosomal RNA (468 nucleotides) under uncultured bacterium. RNAcentral's name for it is "partial 16S ribosomal RNA". It matches the Rfam family "Bacterial small subunit ribosomal RNA", at positions 28 to 507 of the family's 1533-position model. The record is from RNAcentral.
GACGAACGCUGGCGGCGUGCUUAACACAUGCAAGUCGAACGGAAAGGCCCUGCUUUUGUGGGGUGCUCGAGUGGCGCACGGGUGUGUAACACGUGAGUAACCUGCCCUUGACUUUGGGAUAACUUCAGGAAACUGGGGCUAAUACCGGAUAGGAGCUCCUGCUGCAUGGUGGGGGUUGGAAAGUUUCGGCGGUUGGGGAUGGACUCGCGGCUUACCAGCUUGUUGGUGGGGUAGUGGCUUACCAAGGCUUUGACGGGUAGCCGGCCUGAGAGGGUGACCGGCCAAAUUGGGACUGAGAUACGGCCCAGACGCCUACGGGAGGCAGCAGUGGGGAAUAUUGCACAGUGGGCGGAAGCCUGAGGCAGCAACGCCGCGUGCGGGAUGACGGCCUUCGGGUGGUAAACCGCUUUCGCCUGUAACGAAGCGUGAGUGACGGUAAUGGGUAAAGAAGCACCGGCUAACUACGUG